RNAcentral lists this ribosomal RNA (254 nucleotides) under uncultured bacterium. Its description in RNAcentral is "partial 16S ribosomal RNA". It matches the Rfam family "Bacterial small subunit ribosomal RNA", at positions 524 to 776 of the family's 1533-position model. The record is from RNAcentral.
UACGUAGGGGGCAAGCGUUGUCCGGAUUUAUUGGGCGUAAAGAGCUCGUAGGUGGUUCGGUAAGUCGGAUGUGAAAUCUCCAGGCUCAACCUGGAGGGGUCAUUCGAUACUGCCGUGACUAGAGGUCGGUAGGGGAGUGUGGAAUUCCUGGUGGAGCGGUGAAAUGCGUAGAUAUCGAGAGGAACACCAGUGGCGAAGGCGAGUCCCUGGACAACACCUGACACUGAGGCACGAAAGCUAGGGGAGCAAACAGG